ACUCCUACGGGAGGCAGCAGUAGGGAAUCUUGCACAAUGGGCGAAAGCCUGAUGCAGCGACGCCGCGUGGGGGAUGAAGGCCUUCGGGUUGUAAACCCCUUUCAGUAGGGACGAAAAUGACGGUACCUACAGAAGAAGCUCCGGCCAACUACGUGCCAGCAGCCGCGGUAACACGUAGGGAGCAAGCGUUGUCCGGAUUUAUUGGGCGUAAAGAGCUCGUAGGUGGUUCGGUAAGUCGGAUGUGAAAACUCAAGGCUCAACCUUGAGACGCCAUCCGAUACUGCUGUGACUUGAGUUCGGUAGAGGAGUGUGGAAUUCCUGGUGUAGCGGUGAAAUGCGCAGAUAUCAGGAGGAACACCGACAGCGAAGGCAGCACUCUGGGCCGAUACUGACACUGAGGAGCGAAAGCAUGGGGAGCAAACAGGAUUAGAAACCCCAGUAGUCC
This 445-nucleotide ribosomal RNA is filed under the name uncultured bacterium. Its description in RNAcentral is "bacterial SSU rRNA". It matches the Rfam family "Bacterial small subunit ribosomal RNA", at positions 335 to 796 of the family's 1533-position model. The record is from RNAcentral.